UGAAAUCGAUAUCUUUUUGUCUGUUU
Molecule: non-coding RNA, 26 nt
Filed under: Rattus norvegicus (Norway rat)
Lineage: Eukaryota; Metazoa; Chordata; Mammalia; Rodentia; Muridae
Source: RNAcentral